Molecule: ribosomal RNA, 254 nt
Filed under: uncultured bacterium
Lineage: Bacteria
Description: partial 16S ribosomal RNA
Rfam family: Bacterial small subunit ribosomal RNA
Source: RNAcentral
UACGUAGGGGGCAAGCGUUGUCCGGAUUUAUUGGGCGUAAAGAGCGUGUAGGCGGCUAUGCAGGUCCGCUGUGAAAACUCGAGGCUCAACCUCGAGACGUCGGUGGAAACCGCAUGGCUAGAGUCCGGAAGAGGAGAGUGGAAUUCCCGGUGUAGCGGUGAAAUGCGCAGAUAUCGGGAAGAACACCCGUGGCGAAGGCGGCUCUCUGGGACGGUACUGACGCUGAGACGGCGAAAGCGUGGGGAGCGAACAGG